UCUCACCUACGGGACGCAGCAGUCAGGAAUAUUGCGCAAUGGAGGAAACUCUGACGCAGUGACGCCGCGUGCAGGAAGAAGGUUUUCGGAUUGUAAACUGCUUUAGACAGGGAAGAAACAAGACAGUACCUGUAGAAUAAGCUCCGGCUAACUACGUGCCAGCAGCCGCGGUAAUACGUAGGGAGCAAGCGUUAUCCGGAUUUAUUGGGUGUAAAGGGUGCGUAGACGGGAAGUCAAGUUAGUUGUGAAAUCCCUCGGCUUAACUGAGGAACUGCAACUAAAACUAACUUUCUUGAGUGCUGGAG
This 305-nucleotide ribosomal RNA is filed under the name uncultured bacterium. RNAcentral's name for it is "bacterial SSU rRNA". It matches the Rfam family "Bacterial small subunit ribosomal RNA", at positions 331 to 654 of the family's 1533-position model. The record is from RNAcentral.